This 92-nucleotide transfer RNA is filed under the name Pseudomonadota bacterium. RNAcentral's name for it is "tRNA-Ser". It matches the Rfam family "tRNA". From Rfam's summary of the family: Transfer RNA (tRNA) molecules are approximately 80 nucleotides in length. Their secondary structure includes four short double-helical elements and three loops (D, anti-codon, and T loops). Further hydrogen bonds mediate the characteristic L-shaped molecular structure. tRNAs have two regions of fundamental functional importance: the anti-codon, which is responsible for specific mRNA codon recognition, and the 3' end, to which the tRNAs corresponding amino acid is attached (by aminoacyl-tRNA synthetases). tRNAs cope with the degeneracy of the genetic code in two manners: having more than one tRNA (with a specific anti-codon) for a particular amino acid; and 'wobble' base-pairing, i.e. permitting non-standard base-pairing at the 3rd anti-codon position. Lineage: Bacteria; Pseudomonadati; Pseudomonadota. The record is from RNAcentral. RNAcentral also lists the same sequence under 2 other names.
GGUGGGGUGCGGGAGUGGCUGAUCCGGCGCGCCUGGAGAGCGCGUAGGCGGCUAACACCGCCUCGUGGGUUCAAAUCCCACCCCCACCGCCA